RNAcentral lists this ribosomal RNA (497 nucleotides) under uncultured bacterium. RNAcentral describes it as "partial 16S ribosomal RNA". It matches the Rfam family "Bacterial small subunit ribosomal RNA", at positions 28 to 507 of the family's 1533-position model. The record is from RNAcentral.
GAUGAACGCUGGCGGCGUGCCUAAUACAUGCAAGUCGAGCGAACGGACGAGAAGCUUGCUUCUCUGAUGUUAGCGGCGGACGGGUGAGUAACACGUGGAUAACCUACCUAUAAGACUGGGAUAACUUCGGGAAACCGGAGCUAAUACCGGAUAAUAUUUUGAACCGCAUGGUUCAAAAGUGAAAGACGGUCUUGCUGUCACUUAUAGAUGGAUCCGCGCUGCAUUAGCUAGUUGGUAAGUUAACGGCUUACCAAGGCAACGAUGCGUAGCCGACCUGAGAGAGUGAUCGGCCACACUGGAACUGAGACACGGUCCAGAGUCCUACGGGAGGCCGCAGUAGGGAACCUUCCGCAGUGGGCGAAAGCCUGACGGAGCAGCGCCGCGUGAGUGAUGACGGUCUUCGGAUCGUAAAACUCUGUUAUUAGGGAAGAACAUAUGUGUAAGGAACUGUGCACAUCUUGACGGUACCUAAUCAGAAAGCCACGGCUAACUACGUG